This is a long non-coding RNA of Hemicordylus capensis (graceful crag lizard), 1918 nucleotides long. RefSeq lists it as uncharacterized. The record is from RefSeq and is a predicted model, not a curated record. The transcript has 4 exons. NCBI's taxonomy places the organism in Eukaryota, Metazoa, Chordata, Lepidosauria, Squamata, Cordylidae.
AACCAGCGCGAGCGCCGCUUCCCGCAGCCACAUGGAACGCUCGGCUCGUCACCCGCAACGUUCCACACCCCCCCCCCGCCGAGUGCUCCGGCCCCGCCUCCUAGCACGGCCAUUGGACCAGCGAACGCGAGACAUGGAUUUAGAAAACAACAGCAAUGUGAGUAGAGUUGGUUGAUCUUCAAAGAGGAUUGUACUCUGGGCCUCUAAAUCAACCUGAGGACUAUAAGCGCUCAGAAGGUGCUGGAUGCUUCCUAAACAAGGGGAUAUUCCCAGAGGUCAAAAGCAGCUGUUCUGCUUUUAUGGUGUGAAUCUGUUUCUGCAUCAGUCAUGGAGAUUGGAAGAGAAUGAGGUGGGGGGAAUAUCCCAUUACAUAGCUUGCAAUCCCUGGAGAAGCAUUAAAGCAAUGACCUCACCAUUCUUCUGGAAGGCUCUUCUGUACGUCUGUUUGGAACACUUCCACAGGAAGAAAUAUGAGACGCCAAACUAAAGUCCUAGUGGGUUUAAAAGACUCCAAUAUGGUACCAAUUAACCAGAAUAUUGGCAGAUUAGGGUUCUCGUCUCUUUCAUAAAGGAAGCAAAUUAAAGAGAGAAAAUAAACGCCAGUAUUAGAAAGAAAGUAUUACUCUUUAAUUUACAGGUUUGAACAAGCCUUGCUUACGGCUCAAUGUGAUAACAAGACUGGAUAGAAAAUAGAAGGUGGUUGCAUUACUAUGGCACAGUGGAAUAAGUUGAACACAAAAAGAGAAGAUGGAACUUUCUGCUCCAUGUCCUUUUGGGAUUUAAGGCUCCAGGGUUGUAGAGUUUUUGACAAAGUUGUGUUCUCUCGUCCUAAAGUCAGACAACUGGAUCUGGACAGAGUCUGUAUACUUCCUAGGAUAUGGGAAGUGAAGUCUCUCCGUUAUCCCAUCGUGUGUGUAUUAUUCCAGUGUUAACAGGCCCAUCCCAUUUCACUGUCAAGGGGAAAUUUACAAUGACCUGACCAACGUUACCCUGCUGUGUUUUAUGGAGGAGAGAGUAAGAGGAAGUAACAUAAAGGAUCAAGACAACAGGUUCUGCCGUUCUGAAAUGUUAGCCGUUUGAAAACCUCCUUAGAGCCUCCAGGUAGAAGAUUCAACCCCUGACAAAAUUAGAUAGAAAGGCGUGAGUGAGUAAGAGAGACAGAUCUUCAGCCUUCAAAGACCUAUGAGUCCUGACAUCCAACAACGGGCAGAAAUUAUUAGCUUUUCAUGGUUCAGAGGAUGCCCCAGGUAAAGGUGACCUGAGCAUGUUGAAGAAUGGCUGGUAUCAUCCAUAAAUCGCAGGGAAGGUGGACUACAGACUUGGUCAAAAUCUAUAGGAUCGCCCUUGGGACAAAUGUCCAAGCAAACAAACAAACUGCAAAAUAUUACUGAACAGAACACAACAGUAAGCUUCUAUUCAGGUCAAUGUGACGCUGGAUGAAACCUCGUGCCUGCCUGGAGGAAGUGUGUAACCGGAGACAUCUCUUUGCCUGCUACUACAUCAUAAAUUAAGGACGGCUCAUUGCCUGUGGCGGGUUUACAACACUACCUUGCUUUCUGAGUUUGCACGGCUACACAAUAGGAUCGCACCUCGCUCUCAUACCAUGGUGGGUGACUCCUCCUACUCAGAUGAGGAUGAUGAGAACCAGCCCUGUGGGUGUGGUAUGAGGAGCAGCCUCCUUCUGUGCUUGAUGGCUGCUGCUCACAUCUCCCCCCUUAGAAGUGGCAGUGGCAGAAGGAAGAGUUCAAGAAAAGGUGGAUCAUUUCCAAUGGUCAAAGAUAGCCCAGGUUUGUGGACCAGUAGAGCUUGUGCAAAAGGAGAAUGAAAAAGCUUCCCUUUACAUGCAUGCAGAUUCGCUGCCUUUCUGCAAAGUUAAGUACGGUUAAUAAUGUAUUUGUGCUGAAGGGUUUAUAAGAGG